AGAGUUUGAUCCUGGCUCAGGCUGUACGCUAGCGGCAGGCCUAAUACAUGCAAGCCGAACGGUAACUUUUGUAGCAAUACGAGAGCUAGAGUGGCGUAAGGGUGCGUAACACGUAUGCAAUCUGCCCGCAACAGGAGUAUAGCUCCCCGAAAGGGGAAUUAAUCCUCCAUAGUACCAUUGGGAGGCAUCUUUUGGUGGUUAAACCUUAAGGGGUUGCGGAUGAGCAUGCGCAUGAUUAGCUAGUUGGUAGGGUAACGGCCUACCAAGGCGAUGAUCAUUAGGGGAACUGAGAGGUUGAUCCCCCACACUGGCACUGAGAUACGGGCCAGACUCCUACGGGAGGCAGCAGUAGGGAAUAUUGGUCAAUGGGUGAGAGCCUGAACCAGCCAUGCCGCGUGCAGGAAGACGGCCUUCUGGGUUGUAAACUGCUUUUACGAUUCACUGGGAACACUGUGCGCAGUGGAUUGCAGGUACCAAGGGAAUAAGCCACGGCUAACUACGUGCCAGCAGCCGCGGUAAUACGUAGGUGGCGAGCGUUGUCCGGAUUUAUUGGGUUUAAAGGGUGCGUAGGCGGCUUAUUAAGUCAGUGGUGAAAGACGGCAGCUUAACUGUCGAGGUGCUGGAAUUACUGAUGAGCUAGAGUACUGAUGAGGUAGGCGGAAUGGACGGUGUAGCGGUGAAAUGCAUAGAUAUCGUCCAGAACACCGAUAGCGAAGGCAGCUUACU
Molecule: ribosomal RNA, 726 nt
Filed under: uncultured bacterium
Lineage: Bacteria
Description: bacterial SSU rRNA
Rfam family: Bacterial small subunit ribosomal RNA
Source: RNAcentral